CCUACGGGAGGCUGCAGUGGGGAAUAUUGCACAAUGGGGGAAACCCUGAUGCAGCGACGCCGCGUGAGUGAAGAAGUAUUUCGGUAUGUAAAGCUCUGUCAGCAGGGAAGAAAAUGACGGUACCUGACCAAGAAGCCCCGGCUAACUACGUGCCAGCAGCCGCGGUGAUACGUAGGGGGCAAGCGUUAUCCGGAUUUACUGGGUGUGAAGGGAGCGUAGACGGCAGGGCAAGUCUGGAGUGAAAGGCGGGGGCUCAACCCCCGGACUGCUCUGGAAAAUGGCAGGCUGGAGUGCAGGAGAGGUAAGUGGAAUUCCUAGGGUAGCGGUGAAAUGCGUAGAUAUUAGGAGGAACACCAGUGGCGAAGGCGGCUUACUGGACUGUAACUGACGUUGAGGCUCGAAAGCGUGGGGAGCAAACAGGAUUAGAUACCCGGGUAGUC
RNAcentral lists this ribosomal RNA (440 nucleotides) under uncultured bacterium. RNAcentral describes it as "partial 16S ribosomal RNA". It matches the Rfam family "Bacterial small subunit ribosomal RNA", at positions 338 to 795 of the family's 1533-position model. The record is from RNAcentral.